CAGUGAAUAGUUUAAGUAAAAUAUUAAUUUUGGAGAUUAAUGAUAUAAAGUUUAUUUCGCUGA
This 63-nucleotide transfer RNA is filed under the name Mezira sp. RNAcentral's name for it is "tRNA-Pro". The record is from RNAcentral. Lineage: Eukaryota; Metazoa; Arthropoda; Insecta; Hemiptera; Aradidae.